AGGACGAACGCUGGCGGCGUGCUUAACACAUGCAAGUCGAACGAUGAACCACUUCGGUGGGGAUUAGUGGCGAACGGGUGAGUAACACGUGGGCAAUCUGCCCUGCACUCUGGGACAAGCCCUGGAAACGGGGUCUAAUACCGGAUACUGACCCGCUUGGGCAUCCAAGCGGUUCGAAAGCUCCGGCGGUGCAGGAUGAGCCCGCGGCCUAUCAGCUUGUUGGUGAGGUAAUGGCUCACCAAGGCGACGACGGGUAGCCGGCCUGAGAGGGCGACCGGCCACACUGGGACUGAGACACGGCCCAGACUCCUACGGGAGGCAGCAGUGGGGAAUAUUGCACAAUGGGCGAAAGCCUGAUGCAGCGACGCCGCGUGAGGGAUGACGGCCUUCGGGUUGUAAACCUCUUUCAGCAGGGAAGAAGCGAAAGUGACGGUACCUGCAGAAGAAGCGCCGGCUAACUACGUGCCAGCAGCCGCGGUAAUACGUAGGGCGCGAGCGUUGUCCGGAAUUAUUGGGCGUAAAGAGCUCGUAGGCGGCUUGUCACGUCGGUUGUGAAAGCCCGGGGCUUAACCCCGGGUCUGCAGUCGAUACGGGCAGGCUAGAGUUCGGUAGGGGAGAUCGGAAUUCCUGGUGUAGCGGUGAAAUGCGCAGAUAUCAGGAGGAACACCGGUGGCGAAGGCGGAUCUCUGGGCCGAUACUGACGCUGAGGAGCGAAAGCGUGGGGAGCGAACAGGAUUAGAUACCCUGGUAGUCCACGCCGUAAACGGUGGGCACUAGGUGUGGGCGACAUUCCACG
This 796-nucleotide ribosomal RNA is filed under the name Streptomyces sp. Sp080513M2-10. RNAcentral describes it as "bacterial SSU rRNA". It matches the Rfam family "Bacterial small subunit ribosomal RNA", at positions 26 to 836 of the family's 1533-position model. The record is from RNAcentral. Lineage: Bacteria; Bacillati; Actinomycetota; Actinomycetes; Kitasatosporales; Streptomycetaceae.